AAUAUCUUGUUUGAAAUAUCAUUUUUCAGAAUGCUCUACUUUCUUUGGUUUGAACCUUUCCUUUUACUUUCUUUUACCUCACCUUACCCCUAGCCCCAUUACAACCGGAAAAUAAGACCUUUUGAUUCAUGCAUUGCUUGUAAUAUGUUAGUAAUGGAGAUAAGAUUGAAGAGCAAGCUUAUGGUAGAUUAUAUUCAUUGAUUGAAUUUGAGAGAUUUAAACACAUAAGCCCUAAACACGUGAGUGUUGGAGUGUAUAUCAAUGAGAGGAC
Molecule: long non-coding RNA, 271 nt
Filed under: Populus trichocarpa (black cottonwood)
Lineage: Eukaryota; Viridiplantae; Streptophyta; Magnoliopsida; Malpighiales; Salicaceae
Description: long non-coding RNA (PTRI_LNC004430)
Source: RNAcentral